RNAcentral lists this ribosomal RNA (459 nucleotides) under uncultured bacterium. RNAcentral describes it as "partial 16S ribosomal RNA". It matches the Rfam family "Bacterial small subunit ribosomal RNA", at positions 338 to 795 of the family's 1533-position model. The record is from RNAcentral.
CCUACGGGAGGCAGCAGUGAGGAAUAUUGGUCAAUGGUCGGGAGACUGAACCAGCCAAGCCGCGUGAGGGAUGAAGGUACAGAGUAUCGUAAACCUCUUUUGUCAGGGAACAAAGGCGGGGACGUGUCCCCGGAUGAGUGUACCUGAAGAAAAAGCAUCGGCUAACUCCGUGCCAGCAGCCGCGGUAAUACGGAGGAUGCGAGCGUUAUCCGGAUUUAUUGGGUUUAAAGGGUGCGCAGGCGGUCUGUUAAGUCAGCGGUCAAAGCCCGGGGCUCAACCGCGGCCCGCCGUUGAAACUGGCAGUCUUGAGUUGGAGAGAGGUAUGCGGAAUGCGCGGUGUAGCGGUGAAAUGCAUAGAUAUCGCGCAGAACUCCGAUUGCGAAGGCAGCAUGCCGGCUCCACACUGACGCUGAGGCACGAAAGCGUGGGUAUCGAACAGGAUUAGAUACCCCAGUAGUC